This 742-nucleotide ribosomal RNA is filed under the name uncultured bacterium. RNAcentral describes it as "bacterial SSU rRNA". It matches the Rfam family "Bacterial small subunit ribosomal RNA", at positions 8 to 785 of the family's 1533-position model. The record is from RNAcentral.
AGAGUUUGAUCCUGGCUCAGAACGAACGCUGGCGGCAUGCCUAACACAUGCAAGUCGAACGGGGGUUUUGCUUCGGCGGAGCCCUAGUGGCGCACGGGUGAGUAACGCGUGGGAACCUGCCCUGUGGUACGGAACAACUCCGGGAAACUGGAGCUAAUACCGUAUGCGUCCUGCGGGACAAAGAUUGUAUCGCCAUGGGAGGGGCCCGCGUAGGAUUAGCUUGUUGGUGGGGUAACGGCCUACCAAGGCAACGAUCCUUAGCUGGUCUGAGAGGAUGAUCAGCCACACUGGGACUGAGACACGGCCCAGACUCCUACGGGAGGCAGCAGUGGGGAAUAUUGGACAAUGGGCGCAAGCCUGAUCCAGCAAUGCCGCGUGAGUGAUGAAGGCCUUCGGGUUGUAAAGCUCUUUCGCACGCGACGAUGAUGACGGUAGCGUGAGAAGAAGCCCCGGCUAACUUCGUGCCAGCAGCCGCGGUAAUACGAAGGGGGCUAGCGUUGUUCGGAAUUACUGGGCGUAAAGGGCGCGUAGGCGGUGUGUCAAGUCAGGCGUGAAAGCCCCGGGCUCAACCUGGGAACCGCGCUUGAGACUGGCACGCUCGAGUUCGGGAGAGGAUGGUGGAAUUCCCAGUGUAGAGGUGAAAUUCGUAGAUAUUGGGAAGAACACCGAUGGCGAAGGCAGCCAUCUGGACCGACACUGACGCUGAGGCGCGAAAGCGUGGGGAGCAAACAGGAUUAGAUAC